RNAcentral lists this ribosomal RNA (378 nucleotides) under uncultured bacterium. Its description in RNAcentral is "bacterial SSU rRNA". It matches the Rfam family "Bacterial small subunit ribosomal RNA", at positions 521 to 896 of the family's 1533-position model. The record is from RNAcentral.
UAAUACGUAGGGUCCAAGCGUUAUCCGGAAUUACUGGGCGUAAAGCGUACGUAGGCGGGUAUUUAAGUGCAAUGUGAAAUCUUGUGGCUCAACCAUAUAGACUAUGUUGCAUACUGGAUACCUAGAGGAUGGCAGAGGCAAGUGGAAUUUCUAGUGUAGCAGUGAUAUGCGUAGAUAUUAGAAGGAACACCAAUGGCGAAGGCAGCUUGCUGGGCCACCCCUGACGCUGAGGUACGAAAGCGUGGGUAGCGAACAGGAUUAGAUACCCUGGUAGUCCACGCCGUAAACGAUGGAUGCUAUUAGUAUGGAGUAUCGACCCUCUGUGCUGAGAAGCUAACGCGAUAAGCAUCCCGCCUGGGGAGUACGAGCGCAAGCUUA